This 467-nucleotide ribosomal RNA is filed under the name uncultured soil bacterium. RNAcentral's name for it is "bacterial SSU rRNA". It matches the Rfam family "Bacterial small subunit ribosomal RNA", at positions 8 to 524 of the family's 1533-position model. The record is from RNAcentral.
AGAGUUUGAUCCUGGCUCAGAGCGAACGCUGGCGGCAGGCCUAACACAUGCAAGUCGAGCGCCCCGCAAGGGGAGCGGCAGACGGGAGAGUAACACGUGGGAACGUACCCUUUGGUUCGGAACAACCCAGGGAAACUUGGGCUAAUACCGGAUAAGCCCUUACGGGGAAAGAUUCAUCGCCGAAGGAUCGGCCCGCGUCUGAUUAGCUAGUUGGUGGGGUAACGGCCCACCAAGGCGACGAUCAGUAGCUGGUCUGAGAGGAUGAUCAGCCUCACUGGGACUGAGACACGGCCCAGACUCCUACGGAGGCAGCAGUGGGGAAUAUUGGACAAUGGGCGCAAGCCUGAUCCAGCCAUGCCGCGUGGGUGAUGAAGGCCCUAGGGUUGUAAAGCCCUUUCGGCGGGGAAGAUAAUGACGGUACCCGCAGAAGAAGCCCCGGCUAACUUCGUGCCAGCAGCCGCGGUAAU